Molecule: long non-coding RNA, 266 nt
Filed under: Lathyrus oleraceus (garden pea)
Lineage: Eukaryota; Viridiplantae; Streptophyta; Magnoliopsida; Fabales; Fabaceae
Description: Pisum sativum (pea) long non-coding RNA (PSAT_LNC026490)
Source: RNAcentral
UAUUUGAGGGUUGGCCUAUGUUGGCCUAUGAUGUAACAGAGAUUAAUUCCCGCUGUUUUGAGCAGUAUAGAUAUUAGUGGAGUGUGCUAAUAUUGUGGUUGUUGUUUGGCAUGAUAUAAUAUGCUUUUGUGAUAAAUUGUGUUGAUAAUGUGGAAUGGUAUACAUGAUGUUGUGAAUGUAUGCAUUUGUGAAUAGACUAUUCUAUGGCUUAGAGUGUGAGCAUGUGUCUAUUCUUGAUUAUCGUUGAUGUUGCAUUGCUAGGUGAU